GAUGAACGCUGGCGGCGUGCCUAAUACAUGCAAGUCGAGCGAACGGACGAGAAGCUUGCUUUUCUGAUGUUAGCGGCGGACGGGAGAGUAACACGUGGAUAACCUACCUAUCAGACUGGGAUAACUUCGGGAAACCGGAGCUAAUACCGGAUAAUAUUUUGAACCGCAUGGUUCAAAAGUGAAAGUCGGUCUUGCUGUCACUUAUAGCUGGAUCCGCGCUGCAUUAGCUAGUUGGUAAGGUAACGGCUUACCAAGGCAACGAUGCAUAGCCGACCUGAGAGGGUGGUCGGCCACACGGGAACUGAGACACGGUCCAGACUCCUACGGGAGGCAGCAGUAGGGAAUCUUCCGGGAUGGGCGAGAGCCUGACGGAGCAACACCGCGUGAGUGAUGAAGGUCUUCGGAUCGUAAAACUCUGUUAUUAGGGGAGAACAUAUGUGUAAUUAACUGUGCACAUCUUGACGGUACCUAAUCAGAAAGCCACGGCUAACUACGUG
Molecule: ribosomal RNA, 497 nt
Filed under: uncultured bacterium
Lineage: Bacteria
Description: partial 16S ribosomal RNA
Rfam family: Bacterial small subunit ribosomal RNA
Source: RNAcentral